AUGUGCGCCCAGCGCUGGAACGACGGGUCUGGGGACAGGGAGGGCAGCGCGGCCUGCGAAGGUGGGGGUACCCGAGGAAGGUGUCCUGUUGUCGCCAGAUAUCCUGACAUCAACCCAAGAUGCGCAGGGUGCGGGGGCGCUCUGCAGGUCACCUGGACCUCCACUCUGUCCUCUGCAGAGGGAGAGAAGGAAGCCCCACCCACCUGGGAGAGUUGGAUGGCGAAGAGAAUCCAGCCUUUGUGACAUGCUUGUCCCUGGCAGAGAAAGUGAGAGAAAACACGAGAGGGGAGAAGGUCGGAGGGAGAAGCAGACACCCAAUGGAGCUGGGAGCCUGAUGCAGCACUUAAUCCCAGGACUCCGGGAUCAUGACCUGAGCCAAAGGCAGUCGCCCAACCAACUGAGCCACCCAGGCGCCCCAAUUUCUUUCUCUUCUUAAGUAAACUAUGUUACUGAAGUAUAACAUAUAUUCAAAGAAAUGUAUGCCUCCUAAGUAUACAGGCCAGGGUGCCUGAUUAGCCCAGUCAGUACAGCAUGUGACUCUUGAUCUCAAGGUCAUGAGUUCAAGCCCCACACUGGGCAUGGAGCCUAUUUUUUAAAAAAUCAAAACAAAAUAAAACCUAAGUGUACAGGUCAGUGAUUGUUACAAAUGAACACACCUGUGUAACCAGCACCCACGUCAGGAAAUAAAACAUCCCCAGCCCCUCAGAGUUCUCCACAUGACUCUGGAAAGCUAAACGUUAUCCUGGUCAGAUUCAUUUUUGCCAGUUUUGAACUUUAUAUAAAUGGAAUGAUCCCUAAUGAUACUCACAUCCUGGUCCCCAGAACUUUUAAAUGUUACCUUGCAUAGCAAAGGGGCUUUGCAGAUGUGAUUGAGUUAAGGACCUGGAGAUGGGGAAAUUAUGCUGGAUUAUUGGGUGGAUUCAGUGUCAUCACAGGAUCUCUAAAAGAAGAAGAGGGAAGCAGAAAGGCCAGACUGAUGCAGUAUGAGAAAGAUUCAACCUGCUGUUGAUGGCUUGAAGUUGGAAGAAGGGGGACACAGACCAAGGAAUGUGGGUGGUCUUUAGGAGGUGCAAACAGCAAGGAAACUGAUUCUUCCCUAGAGCUUCCGGAAUGGAAUACAGCUUUGAAGGCAGUGAGAAUCAUGUUGGACUUCUUCUUCUUUUUUUUUUUUUUUUUUUAAGAUUUUGUUUAUUUAUUUGACACACAGAGAGAGUGGGGGUGGUGGGGAAACACAAGCAGUGGGAGUGGGAGAGGGAGAAGCAGGCUUCCUGUGGAGCUGGGAGCCUGACACAGGGCUCGAUCCCAGGACCCUGGGAUCAUGACCUGAGCUGACACUUAAUGACUGAGCCACCCAGCUGCCCCCCAUGUUGGACUUCUAACCUACAAAACUGUCAGACAGUAAGUUUGUGUUGUUUCACAUCACUAAAUUUGGGUAAAUUGUUAUAGAAACAAUAGGAAACUAAUAAAAGUACUUAUUUUCUA
Mustela lutreola (European mink) is the source of this 1482-nucleotide long non-coding RNA. RefSeq lists it as uncharacterized. NCBI's taxonomy places the organism in Eukaryota, Metazoa, Chordata, Mammalia, Carnivora, Mustelidae. The transcript is spliced from 3 exons. The record is from RefSeq and is a predicted model, not a curated record.